GCAGUCGAGCGGAAGAUGGGAGCUUGCUCCCUGAUGUUAGCGGCGGACGGGUGAGUAACACGUGGGUAACCUGCCUGUAAGACUGGGAUAACUCCGGGAAACCGGGGCUAAUACCGGAUGGUUGUUUGAACCGCAUGGUUCAAACAUAAAAGGUGGCUUCGGCUACCACUUACAGAUGGACCCGCGGCGCAUUAGCUAGUUGGUGAGGUAAUGGCUCACCAAGGCAACGAUGCGUAGCCGACCUGAGAGGGUGAUCGGCCACACUGGGACUGAGACACGGCCCAGACUCCUACGGGAGGCAGCAGUAGGGAAUCUUCCGCAAUGGACGAAAGUCUGACGGAGCAACGCCGCGUGAGUGAUGAAGGUUUUCGGAUCGUAAAGCUCUGUUGUUAGGGAAGAACAAGUACCGUUCGAAUAGGGCGGUACCUUGACGGUACCUAACCAGAAAGCCACGGCUAACUACGUGCCAGCAGCCGCGGUAAUACGUAGGUGGCAAGCGUUGUCCGGAAUUAUUGGGCGUAAAGGGCUCGCAGGCGGUUUCUUAAGUCUGAUGUGAAAGCCCCCGGCUCAACCGGGGAGGGUCAUUGAAAACUGGGGAACUUGAGUGCAGAAGAGGANAGUGGAAUUCCACGUGUAGCGGUGAAAUGCGUANAGAUGUGGAGGAACACCNGUGGCGAAGCGACUCU
This 686-nucleotide ribosomal RNA is filed under the name Bacillus sp. (in: firmicutes). RNAcentral's name for it is "bacterial SSU rRNA". It matches the Rfam family "Bacterial small subunit ribosomal RNA", at positions 57 to 728 of the family's 1533-position model. Lineage: Bacteria; Bacillati; Bacillota; Bacilli; Caryophanales; Bacillaceae. The record is from RNAcentral.